RNAcentral lists this ribosomal RNA (744 nucleotides) under uncultured bacterium. Its description in RNAcentral is "bacterial SSU rRNA". It matches the Rfam family "Bacterial small subunit ribosomal RNA", at positions 8 to 796 of the family's 1533-position model. The record is from RNAcentral.
AGAGUUUGAUCCUGGCUCAGAGCGAACGCUGGCGGCAGGCUUAACACGUGCAAGUCGAGCGGGCGUAGCAAUACGUCAGCGGCAGACGGGUGAGUAACGCGUGGGAACGUACCUUUUGGUUCGGAACAACACAGGGAAACUUGUGCUAAUACCGGAUAAGCCCUUACGGGGAAAGAUUUAUCGCCGAAAGAUCGGCCCGCGUCUGAUUAGCUAGUUGGUGAGGUAAUGGCUCACCAAGGCGACGAUCAGUAGCUGGUCUGAGAGGAUGAUCAGCCACAUUAGGACUGAGACACGGCCCAAACUCCUACGGGAGGCAGCAGUGGGGAAUAUUGGACAAUGGGCGCAAGCCUGAUCCAGCCAUGCCGCGUGAGUGAUGAAGGCCCUAGGGUUGUAAAGCUCUUUUGUGCGGGAAGAUAAUGACGGUACCGCAAGAAUAAGCCCCGGCUAACUUCGUGCCAGCAGCCGCGGUAAUACGAAGGGGGCUAGCGUUGCUCGGAAUCACUGGGCGUAAAGGGUGCGUAGGCGGGUCUUUAAGUCAGGGGUGAAAUCCUGGAGCUCAACUCCAGAACUGCCUUUGAUACUGAAGAUCUUGAGUUCGGGAGAGGUGAGUGGAACUGCGAGUGUAGAGGUGAAAUUCGUAGAUAUUCGCAAGAACACCAGUGGCGAAGGCGGCUCACUGGCCCGAUACUGACGCUGAGGCACGAAAGCGUGGGGAGCAAACAGGAUUAGAUACCCUGGUAGUCC